RNAcentral lists this long non-coding RNA (843 nucleotides) under Oryza sativa aus subgroup. RNAcentral describes it as "lncRNA OsN22_10G004500". Lineage: Eukaryota; Viridiplantae; Streptophyta; Magnoliopsida; Poales; Poaceae. The record is from RNAcentral.
GUUCCAAUCAUUUUCCCUCCUGCAAUCCUCUCAUCCAGCAGCGGUCUUCACAUCGUCCUCCAUAUCUUCGCAUCGCCGCGACGCCCCAUCGUGCGACGCCGACCAGGUGCGCCGCCGCGACAGCCCUCCACCUCGACCUGUCCGCGCCGGCAUUCCCGUUUGCGCGGCCACCUCGACAUCCCUCCACCUUCGCCUGGCCGCGCCACCCAUCCCCUGCCACCCGGUGCCGUCGGCACACCGCGCCGCCGCUUUUCAGCUGUUGCCGCCACCGUCGCUUCUCUCCCCUUGUUGCCCUCCGCCGGCCCUCGUCGCCACCGCCCCCCUCCUCCCCUCCUAGCGGCCGCCAGCUGCCAUCCCCCAGUCACAUCGCUGCCAUCCUCGCCGCGUCUCUCUGCCCUCCCCUGGCCGGCUAUCCUCCCUCCCCUCCAGCCGGCUCUCUGAUCUGCUUCCCACCAGCCACUUGCCUGCAUUGAUUCUGUAUUUGGAGUAGUUGACGCCUACUCAUUUGAUUCAGAAAAUUACAGAAUUGAGCUGCCUCCUGUGUCCUAACUUGACUGGUUGUCACUUGGUUUCUGAAAUUAUGUCCUGGAUGCUGAUCAUGGAGCUGUGGUUUACCCUGUCAGGAGGUCAGUAGCUCCUCCUGCAGUUCAGCAUUUGGGCGACGUCCUUGGGCAGUGUAACUGCGGCGCACCUGGUUGCCCUGAGAUGAUUCCGGCGCAAGCACAGUUCUGUUGUUUGCGUUGCAAGGCUGCAGUUCAUUGCUGUUUAUUUAUUAUUAUAAAGGAGUGUAAUGAACAAAAAAAAUUUAGUUGCCUUUUUAAAUAUUAGGAUUAAAUGAGCUGC